This 219-nucleotide unclassified non-coding RNA is filed under the name Hevea brasiliensis (rubber tree). Lineage: Eukaryota; Viridiplantae; Streptophyta; Magnoliopsida; Malpighiales; Euphorbiaceae. The record is from RNAcentral.
AAGACAUAAUAUAAUUAGAAAAAAUUAGUGUUUUUGUUGGGGUGAGAUUUUGGCUAAGGUUAUGUACUAUGCUGAUGUUUACUGUAACAAGAAUAGUAGAGAGAAGAGAAAGCUGAAGAAGAAGGUAUUGGAAGAAAAUCAAUGUUAAAAAUGGAGAAGAAGAAGAAAAUUUAUGUUUUGUACUUGCCUGUUCUAAGAUUUUUAUUUUUUUUUCCUUUU